CAGUCGCCGCGGUAAUACGUAGGUGGCAAGCGUUGUCCGGAAUUAUUGGGCGUAAAGGGCUCGCAGGCGGUUUCUUAAGUCUGAUGUGAAAGCCCCCGGCUCAACCGGGGAGGGUCAUUGGAAACUGGGAAACUUGAGUGCAGAAGAGGAGAGUGGAAUUCCACGUGUAGCGGUGAAAUGCGCAGAGAUGUGGAGGAACACCAGUGGCGAAGGCGACUCUCUGGUCUGUAACUAACGCUGAGGAGCGAAAGCGUGGGGAGCGAACAGGAUUAGAUACCCCAGUAGUCCCUGUCUCUUAUAA
Molecule: ribosomal RNA, 301 nt
Filed under: uncultured bacterium
Lineage: Bacteria
Description: partial 16S ribosomal RNA
Rfam family: Bacterial small subunit ribosomal RNA
Source: RNAcentral